This 302-nucleotide long non-coding RNA is filed under the name Homo sapiens (human). RNAcentral describes it as "HSALNT0384782". The record is from RNAcentral. Lineage: Eukaryota; Metazoa; Chordata; Mammalia; Primates; Hominidae.
CAUGAUUCCAGUCCCUAGGCUUGGAAGAGAGAGAAUCCUUUGGAACUAGCACCAAAGCUUCAUGCAAAAAGCUGUGCAGCACUGGUUACAAUGACCUAAAACCUGGAAGCAAACUGUGUUCCAAUAGUAGGGGCUGGCUUAAAUAAUCUCUCGUACAUACAUAUAAAAGAAGAAUGAGGACACUCUCUACUGACAUAGAACCAUUUCCAAGAUUAACCGUUAAGUGAAUAAUGCAAGUUCUAGAAGAAAAGAGCCAAAGGUGCCUCUUCCCCAGCAGAGGCAACAGUAUGCAUUGCAUACCA